ACUCCUACGGGAGGCAGCAGUGGGGAAUAUUGGACAAUGGGGCACCCGUAGCAUCCAGCCAUGCCGCGUGUGUGAAGAAGGCCUUCGGGUUGUAAAGCACUUUCAGUAGGGAGGAAGGUAGUGUAGUUAACACCUGCACUAUUUGACGUUACCUACAGAAGAAGCACCGGCUAACUCCGUGCCAGCAGCCGCGGUAAUACGGAGGGUGCGAGCGUUAAUCGGAAUUACUGGGCGUAAAGCGCAUGCAGGCGGCC
RNAcentral lists this ribosomal RNA (254 nucleotides) under uncultured bacterium. RNAcentral's name for it is "partial 16S ribosomal RNA". It matches the Rfam family "Bacterial small subunit ribosomal RNA", at positions 335 to 580 of the family's 1533-position model. The record is from RNAcentral.